CCUGAUCCAGCCAUUCCGCGUGAGUGAAGAAGGCCUUCGGGUUGUAAAGCUCUUUCGGCAGGGAAGAAACGGUGGACUCUAACAUAGUUCACUAAUGACGGUACCUGACUAAGAAGCACCGGCUAACUACGUGCCAGCAGCCGCGGUAAUACGUAGGGUGCGAGCGUUAAUCGGAAUUACUGGGCGUAAAGCGUGCGCAGGCGGUUUUGCAAGUCAGAUGUGAAAGCCCCGGGCUUAACCUGGGAACUGCGUUUGAAACUGCAAGGCUAGAGUUUGGCAGAGGGGGGUAGAAUUCCACGUGUAGCAGUGAAAUGCGUAGAUAUGUGGAGGAAUACCGAUGGCGAAGGCAGCCCCCUGGGUCAAAACUGACGCUCAUGCACGAAAGCGUGGGGAGCAAACAGGAUUGGAUACCCUGGUAGUCCACGCCCUAAACGAUGUCAACUAGUUGUCGGG
This 453-nucleotide ribosomal RNA is filed under the name uncultured bacterium. RNAcentral's name for it is "bacterial SSU rRNA". It matches the Rfam family "Bacterial small subunit ribosomal RNA", at positions 382 to 827 of the family's 1533-position model. The record is from RNAcentral.